This 217-nucleotide long non-coding RNA is filed under the name Elaeis guineensis (African oil palm). RNAcentral's name for it is "long non-coding RNA (EGUI_LNC035597)". The record is from RNAcentral. Lineage: Eukaryota; Viridiplantae; Streptophyta; Magnoliopsida; Arecales; Arecaceae.
GGAGAAGAAUGAAAGAGAAGAGAGUACUAACCUUUGCUUUUUCCACUAGUGCAUUGACAUUGGCAUCAUUGUAGGAGGGAGCAUGGCCCUCUCUCUUCGAUUCUAAUUUUUCGAGAGUAGAGUAUGCUAUGAGGGAGGAUAGCUCACGAAGAAGAAGGAAAGAGAGAGAAGGGAGGCCAUCGGCUUUUCCAACGGGGAGCCAAGCCAAUCAAAAGAA